This 1179-nucleotide unclassified non-coding RNA is filed under the name Burkholderia sp. Its description in RNAcentral is "partial contains 16S ribosomal RNA and 16S-23S ribosomal RNA intergenic spacer". Lineage: Bacteria; Pseudomonadati; Pseudomonadota; Betaproteobacteria; Burkholderiales; Burkholderiaceae. The record is from RNAcentral.
GUAAAAAAAGGGUAGGAAGAAUGGCAGGAAAAGCAAAAAAGAAAAGGAAAUACAGACGAAAACAAAAAGAAGAAAGGCAAGGAGAAGAGCAUACUAAAGUAACAGAUUUUGUAUUCAAUGGGAAGGAGGGAAGCAGAGGGGGGAAUAAAAGACAAAGGGGAAGAAUGGGAGAAAAAAAAGCGAAUUCUCUCCUUAUUAAAGGAGGGGUAUGUGGGGGAUUUAAAAAAGGUUUUCGAAAACAGGGGAAAGUGGCAAAGAGAAGGAAAAGUCGAGUGUAUUGAUGGCCUGUAAAGGGAAAGAAAUAGACAUGCGGGGAAAAUCCUAGAGUCCUGGAGGCGGGUAGGUAAAACGGAAGGGUAGCAAAGGGGUAAUCUAACAAUAAAUGGGGAGUAAAAGAAAAAGAAUAAGGGGGUGACAUUUUUUUUUAGGAGAAAAAAGCCAAUCAUUUUGAUUUAAUGAGUUUGUGGGAGAGACUAGGGGGUGAGCUUAUUGAGAAAUAGUGGUGGGUACAUGUACAAUAGUUGGGUGAAAUGUGAUAGGAUGAUAAAUAUGACCGUAAUUUAGGGUUGCUAGUAUCAGGGAGAUCUUGGAUACAGAGAGAUAUGGGAGAAAUGGGAUAUCGUUGAUGUAGGAAUUAGUUCGUAGGAGGGUAAAUGGAGCCUUCAUAGUGAAGAAGGAGGAAGAGAAGAGAUGAUAAAGAGAAAAGAGUGAAAGGUAGGAUGAAGGGGAGAGAAAAAAAGGGAGUAAAUGCUGGGUAGUUGAUAGGGAAGGCACGUAAUAGUCAGGUGGUGAGGGAGGGUGAGAGGGAGGGAAAUGCUGUUAGAAGGGCUGGUAAUGACGGAAGACGAUGGAAAAAAGAAAAGGUCCUGAGGGAAGGGUGAAACGGAAAAAAGAUGUUUGUAUUGGAAUGAUAAAAAGGGGGGGGGGGGAAAGACUUGAAUCGUACGGGAGCCAGCGGCGGGGGGUUCGAAACCGUAAGGGUGGGAACUCAAAGGAGACUGCCGGUGACAAAGCCGGAGGAAGGUGGGGAUGACGUCAAGUCAUCAUGGCCCUUACGAGCAGGGCUACACACGUGCUACAAUGGCAGAUACAAAGAGAAGCCAAGUCGCGAGAGGCGAAGCGGAACUCAUAAAGUCGAUCCGUAGUCCCGGAUUCGGCAGUCGGAAUUUGGUCGAGUGU